CAUGUAGGCGGCUUAAUAAGUCGAGCGUGAAAAUGCGGGGCUCAACCCCGUAUGGCGCUGGAAACUGUUAGGCUUGAGUGCGGUAGGGGAGACUGGAAUUCCCGGUGUAACGGUGGAAUGUGUAGAUAUCGGGAAGAACACCAAUGGCGAAGGCAGGUCUCUGGGCCGUCACUGACGCUGAGGAGCGAAAGCGUGGGGAGCGAACA
RNAcentral lists this ribosomal RNA (206 nucleotides) under uncultured bacterium. RNAcentral describes it as "partial 16S ribosomal RNA". It matches the Rfam family "Bacterial small subunit ribosomal RNA", at positions 568 to 774 of the family's 1533-position model. The record is from RNAcentral.